This 91-nucleotide non-coding RNA is filed under the name uncultured Niameybacter sp. Its description in RNAcentral is "Cyclic di-GMP-I riboswitch". It matches the Rfam family "c-di-GMP-I riboswitch aptamer", at positions 6 to 83 of the family's 87-position model. From Rfam's summary of the family: GEMM was predicted in a large-scale screen for bacterial structured RNA regulatory elements. Genes associated with GEMM are involved in a diverse array of functions, including chemotaxis regulation, signal transduction, secretion and chitin. Lineage: Bacteria; Bacillati; Bacillota; Clostridia; Lachnospirales; Lachnospiraceae. The record is from RNAcentral.
UAUAUUGGCAAACUAUUUUAAAGGAUAGGACGCAAAGCUAGAAGUCUAAGGCUAUAUAUAAGUAGGUAUAUAGCUAUGAUAGUUCGGCUGC